UGUAUGUAGAUCAGACAACAGGAGAGAGAGAGAGGUAGUCUGUAUGUAGAUCAGACAACAGGAAAGAGAGAGGUAGUCUGUAUGUAGAUCAGACAACAGGAGAGAGAGAGAGGUAGUCUGUAUGUAGAUCAGACAACAGGAGAGAGAGGUAGUCUGUAUGUAGAUCAGACAACAGGAGAGAGAGAGGUAGUCUGUAUGUAGAUCAGACAACAGGAGAGAGAGAGAGGUAGUCUGUAUGUAGAUCAGACAACAGGAGAGAGAGAGGUAGUCUGUAUGUAGAUCAGACAACAGGAGAGAGAGAGAGGUAGUCUGUAUGUAGAUCAGACAACAGGAGAGAGAGAGAGGUAGUCUGUAUGUAGAUCAGACAACAGGAGAGAGAGAGGUAGUCUGUAUGUAGAUCAGACAACAGGAGAGAGAGAGGUAGUCUGUAUGUAGAUCAGACAACAGGAGAGAGAGAGAGGUAGUCUGUAUGUAGAUCAGACAACAGGAGAGAGAGAGGUAGUCUGUAUGUAGAUCAGACAACAGGAGAGAGAGAGAGGUAGUCUAUGUAGAUCAGACAACAGGAGAGAGAGAGAGGUAGUCUGUAUGUAGAUCAGACAACAGGAGAGAGAGAGAGAGAGGUAGUCUGUAUGUAGAUCAGACAACAGGAGAGAGAGAGAGAGAGGUAGUCUGUAUGUAGAUCAGACAACAGGAGAGAGAGAGGUAGUCUGUAUGUAGAUCAGACAACAGGAGAGAGAGAGAGAGAGGUAGUCUGUAUGUAGAUCAGACAACAGGAGAGAGAGAGGUAGUCUGUAUGUAGAUCAGACAACAGGAGAGAGAGAGAGGUAGUCUGUAUGUAGAUCAGACAACAGGAGAGAGAGAGAGGUAGUCUGUAUGUAGAUCAGACAACAGGAGAGAGAGAGGUAGUCUGUAUGUAGAUCAGACAACAGGAGAGAGAGAGAGGUAGUCUGUAUGUAGAUCAGACAACAGGAGAGAGAGAGAGGUAGUCUGUAUGUAGAUCAGACAACAGGAGAGAGAGAGGUAGUCUGUAUGUAGAUCAGACAACAGGAGAGAGAGAGAGGUAGUCUGUAUGUAGAUCAGACAACAGGAGAGAGAGAGAGGUAGUCUGUAUGUAGAUCAGACAACAGGAGAGAGAGAGAGGUAGUCUUUAUGUAGAUCAGACAACAGGAGAGAGAGAGAGAGGUAGUCUGUAUGUAGAUCAGACAACAGGAGAGAGAGAGGUAGUCUGUAUGUAGAUCAGACAACAGGAAAGAGAGAGGUAGUCUGUAUGUAGAUCAGACAACAGGAGAGAGAGAGAGGUAGUCUGUAUGUAGAUCAGACAACAGGAGAGA
This is a long non-coding RNA of Oncorhynchus keta (chum salmon), 1331 nucleotides long. RefSeq lists it as uncharacterized. NCBI's taxonomy places the organism in Eukaryota, Metazoa, Chordata, Actinopteri, Salmoniformes, Salmonidae. The transcript has 4 exons. The record is from RefSeq and is a predicted model, not a curated record.